This 275-nucleotide long non-coding RNA is filed under the name Phoenix dactylifera (date palm). RNAcentral's name for it is "long non-coding RNA (PDAC_LNC014543)". The record is from RNAcentral. Lineage: Eukaryota; Viridiplantae; Streptophyta; Magnoliopsida; Arecales; Arecaceae.
GUACAACUACAUUUGUGGGAUAAUGGGAUGCACAAUAGCAACUAUGAUCAUGGUGUAAGCAAUAGAAGAUAAGAAUAAUCAUUCACCUUCACAACAAUCUUAAUUAUGUAUAUUUCCACAGCUUUUGAUCAUCAAUUCAUGAUACAUACUGUUGGGGGAAAUACAAGUCCCCUCAAAGCACGUGAGCACAUCACCCGCAUGUGACCAGAGGCGCCCGACCUCAAACGCCUGACCUGGCGUCCGACCUCAAACGCCCGACCUGGCGCCCGACCAGG